Long non-coding RNA from Pseudopipra pipra, 1795 nucleotides. RefSeq lists it as uncharacterized. NCBI's taxonomy places the organism in Eukaryota, Metazoa, Chordata, Aves, Passeriformes, Pipridae. The transcript has 2 exons. The record is from RefSeq and is a predicted model, not a curated record.
CUGCGCCGGGCAGCGCCCGACAGGGAUCGUGAGGGUGUAACGGGAAUAAAGGGGCCUCAGGGAGCCCUCACCGCUGUACGCAGCUUCCUCACCAAGGGAAGCCCAGGGGCAGGCUCUGAUCUCUCUGGCGACCAGUGACAGGGAAUGGCCUGAAAUUGUGUCAGGGGAGGUUUAGGUUGGAUAUUAGAAAAUUUUCAGCCAGAGGGUGGUUGGGCACUGGAACAGGUUCCCCUGGGAAGUGGUCACAGCACCAGGCCUGACAGAGUUCAAGAAUCGUUUGGACAAUGCUCUCAGAGACAUGCUGUGAUUCUUGGGGAUGUCCUGUGCAGGGCCAGGAGUUGGACACGAUGAUCCUUGUGGGUCCCUUCCAACUCAGAAUAUUCUGUGAUUCUGUGAUAACCCCAGUGGCUGGUGGCCAGUUGGUUCCUGGCCAGAGUCAGCAGCAAUGCCCGGCUGCUGCAGGGUCAGCACUCAUCCCAGGCUUCCUCUGUGGUGUGGGCAUGUAGGAGGCACCGAUGGAGCUGUUUCCCUGUGCCGAGUGCAUGGACAGUGCACACACACCAGUGCUCUGCCUGGCAGAAGCAGGGAGAGCACUUUGCAAGCCAGCUGUGGGUCACCACUGACCCUGGACAGCCACCAGGAACCACAGACGAAGUGCAGGUACUCGGUGUGUGACACCUACAGCGGUAGUGGGGAAUCUCCACAAAUCAGGGGGGAGGGUAACACCUCUGUCACCAUCCCCGGGGAAUGGUGGUUGCCUUCAGCUAUCACCAGCUCCACUGGAUUACAGGGAAGAGAGCAGACUGACUCAUCCCAGCUCCAGCCCAGGGCUCGCUUCCUUAAUGGUGCUUCUGCUGACUGUUGCAUCCGGCCCACUAUGUUCAGGAGCCAGACUGAACCUGUGCCAGAGGACUGGAAAUAGCAGGUUGCAAGAUGUGGUUGAGAAAUCGACCUCCUGAGUUGUGGCAGGAGCCAUGUCCUUGGAUUUCGGAGUCUGACAGAGGAAAAUGACACAGUAACGUGCUUCGCAUGGUGAAAUGCACAGAGGGCUUGGCAAUACUUCUUGCUACAGCAGGUCCCAAAACUGCUUGGUGUCCAUAAAGAAGACCUUUUGCUGGAGGCCCACACCUGUGUAUAUGCAGAAGGCUCUUCAGAAAUCCCCUGCUGUAUCUGGUGAUUGUAUUCUGCACAGGCUGAAACCAACGUCCGCAUCAUGGAAGCUGCAGACAGCACAAUGGUGCAGGAUUGUGAGGUGGACACAGGUCCUAUGGGCAGGGCAUGGGCUAAGCAGGGCCAAAGCCCUUAGGCAGUGCUCCUUAGGGAGGCUGUUCAUGGGUGAGCUGCUGAAACACCCUCCUCUCACCAGCUCAGAGCUCAUCUGUGAGCACUGAAGUUCACACAGAGCCUCUGCUAGUGCUGUCUCAGCCUCUCUGAUACUGCUUCUGCAACCCUGAAUCAUCCUUCAGAGACUUCCAGUCUGGAAAACCUUUCCUGUCUGCUGCCCAGGUUGUGCUGGAAGCGGCAGAGAAUGGGGGGAAGGGGCGGGAGAAGGAGCUCAGCAGGCAGCCUGGAGGAGGUGAGUGAAGGGCAAAAUGGAAGAGGGAUGAAUGGCGCUGCUGCCUCAACUCCACCUUCUCCCGCCUACCGCGGGCUGCUGCCAGCAGCUCCCCCCCCCAUCCCCCGGCAUCCCCAUGGCCCUCGGCGGCACAGCCGAGGGGCAACCACGGCGGAAGCGUCUGAAAAGCAAACUGAGUAUCACGUGGUGAAGGUAAAUAAAGGGAACGAUGAAAAAUCA